Molecule: unclassified non-coding RNA, 253 nt
Filed under: uncultured Thermomicrobiales bacterium
Lineage: Bacteria; Pseudomonadati; Thermomicrobiota; Thermomicrobia; Thermomicrobiales
Description: contains 16S-23S intergenic spacer region
Rfam family: Bacterial small subunit ribosomal RNA
Source: RNAcentral
UACGUGGGGUCCGAGCGUUGUCCGGAGUUACUGGGCGUAAAGGGCGCGCAGGCGGCGGCGUGGGUCCGGCGUGAAAGCCCCCGGCUCAACCGGGGAGGGUCGUCGGGGACCGCGCCGCUUGAGGGCGGCAGGGGCCGGUGGAAUGCCUGGUGUAGUGGUGAAAUGCGUAGAGAUCAGGCGGAACACCCGUGGCGAAGGCGGCCGGCUGGGCCGUCCCUGACGCUGAGGCGCGAAGGCGUGGGGAGCGAACGGG